This 556-nucleotide long non-coding RNA is filed under the name Homo sapiens (human). Its description in RNAcentral is "HSALNT0369986". Lineage: Eukaryota; Metazoa; Chordata; Mammalia; Primates; Hominidae. The record is from RNAcentral.
GGGAGAGAAGCUCUUAGCAUGUCCUGCUUGAUAAGUGUGGCUUUGUGUACCCCAGGCCUCAGACCCUACCAGACAGUGUAUGCUAACAAUGCUAUUUGUGAAUGCCUGUUUUUGCUGUCCUGAGCUCCAGGCCACUCUGCAUUAAUUUGUCCUCUGAGGAUGUGAGGGAUAGAGACUGAGUAUCUACGGUCAGCUAUAUGGGCUCUCCACACCUACAGAACUGAUCCCCGAUAAAAUCCCUGGACACCAAGGCUUGGGAAUGAACAUCUGACCUAGACCUGGCCAAUCAGAACACUUAACCACUCUAGCCACAAGGAUUGGUUCAGGGAUGAACCAAUCAGAAUUCUUCCAGGGAAUGAGGGGGAAAAAAAACUCUCAUUCUUCACUAGGAUUGCUAAGUGGACUUGAAGAGACUUUGCCCUAGAGAUGACGAGAAGAAGUGGACCCCAGAUGCUGAUGUUUGGGUACAAGGAUGCACACUGAGACCUGAUGGAAGUAAAGCACUGUACUUCUCCAGUCUGCACACCAAAAGAUUAUCUUUUUUUAAACCUAAGAC